RNAcentral lists this ribosomal RNA (429 nucleotides) under Bacteroidota bacterium. RNAcentral describes it as "Bacteroidetes bacterium partial 16S ribosomal RNA". It matches the Rfam family "Bacterial small subunit ribosomal RNA", at positions 355 to 776 of the family's 1533-position model. Lineage: Bacteria; Pseudomonadati; Bacteroidota. The record is from RNAcentral.
UAGGGAAUCUUCGGCAAUGGGGGGAACCCUGACCGAGCAACGCCGCGUGAGUGAAGAAGGUUUUCGGAUCGUAAAGCUCUGUUGUUAAGGAAGAACGAGUGUGAGAAUGGAAAGUUCAUACUGUGACGGUACUUAACCAGAAAGGGACGGCUAACUACGUGCCAGCAGCCGCGGUAAUACGUAGGUCCCGAGCGUUUUCCGGCUUUAUUGGGCGUAAAGCGAGCGCAGGCGGUGAGAUAAGUGUGAAGUUAAAGGCAGUGGCUCAACCAUUGUAGUCUUUGGAAACUGUUUAACUUGAGUGCAGAAGGGGAGAGUGGAAUUCCAUGUGUAGCGGUGAAAUGCGUAGAUAUAUGGAGGAACACCGGUGGCGAAAGCGGCUCUCUAGUCUGUAACUGACGCUGAGGCUCGAAAGCGUGGGGAGCGAACAGG